UGUGCAGACUCCCUGGUAAACUACACUGGAGCACAAUCAACGUACCGCAUAAUCUAUUACAAUGAUGAGUCUAUGGUUCUCGGGGACAAGAUGCCAACCGUAUCGGAACGAGCGAUAUGUUCACUCUGGGUGAAGGAGAACUUCACUCUAGAACACCAAAUCCCUUUCAUGGCAAACUUGUCUUUUCAUACAAGCUGCAAAAAUGCACUAUACUAUGGAUAUCUCCAUACCUGCAGCAAGUAGUAGGACGCUCGUGGAACACGAAUAAAUUUUUCUGACAGAAACGGUA
RNAcentral lists this long non-coding RNA (289 nucleotides) under Dermacentor andersoni. RNAcentral describes it as "uncharacterized LOC126539273". The record is from RNAcentral. Lineage: Eukaryota; Metazoa; Arthropoda; Arachnida; Ixodida; Ixodidae.